AAAGUCGUAACAAGGUUUCCGUAGGUGAACCUGCGGAAGGAUCAUUAACGAAGUUUAAUUGGAGUUGUAGCUGGCUGCUUUGGCAGUAUGUGCUCGCUUCAUUUCUUCAUUUCCACUUGUGCACCUUUGUAGGCUAUGUUAACUCUCGUGCGUUGGGCUUUUUUUCAAGUCCUUCGUCGGAUUUCAGGAGGCUUGGUUGUCCUUUCAUUAGGUUUCCAUCCACUUGUUCUUCAUAGUUCCUAUGUCUUAUACACUCUUUAAUAACCUAGAAUGUCUUUUGUGGGUCUUGUACCUAUAAACUUAUACAACUUUUAACAACGGAUCUCUUGGCUCUC
Molecule: unclassified non-coding RNA, 335 nt
Filed under: Basidiomycota sp.
Lineage: Eukaryota; Fungi; Basidiomycota
Description: partial contains small subunit ribosomal RNA, internal transcribed spacer 1, and 5.8S ribosomal RNA
Rfam family: Eukaryotic small subunit ribosomal RNA (bases 1-47)
Source: RNAcentral